AAUGUUUUGGCAGAUUAAUGCAUUAAAUUUAGGUUUUAAAAAAGUAUAUUAGUAUACAUUCAUUA
Molecule: transfer RNA, 65 nt
Filed under: Chanohirata hamata
Lineage: Eukaryota; Metazoa; Arthropoda; Insecta; Hemiptera; Cicadellidae
Description: tRNA-Leu
Source: RNAcentral